AUGGCGGAACCACCGGCGACAGGGGGAGGAAGUGGGGGUGCGAAGGAAGACAAGGAGAGGAUGGCGGCGCAGUCUGGCCCUGUGGUCGAAGAGGAGAACCACCUGGGAGACGGUGGUAAGAAGGGGGCCGCGGGGAGUGGAGGUGGAAGCCAGGGGCGGGAGGGAGCAGAGGGGGAGUACCAUGCUUGGGGACCUCCCGCAAGUCUUGAGGAUAGAUUUGAAGGUCUGCACCUGCGUGGAGAGGAGGAAGUUGAACUCGAUUUCAAUGCUGAAUUUGAAGAUCUAGUUAAGGACAUUAGGUGGCUGGCGAUAUUCAGAGUUCAUACAACUCGUCAGUUCAGCCAUUCAGCUCUGUACAACGCGAUGCGCACGGCAUGGUCGUCGGCCCAACAAGCUAUCUUCAAACCAAAGGGUCUCAACCUGUUCAUUGCACAAUUCAGUUAUUUGGGGGAUUGGAAGAGGGUGAUGGACGGUGGCCCCUGGUUGUUUAGGAACGCGGCUGUUGUGAUCCAGGAAUAUGACGGGUUUAGCAAUGUUAAUGACUACAAGCUGGAUAAGAUCCCAGUUUGGGCAAGAAUUGAAGGGGUGCCGGAGGGUUUGAUGCGGAAGAAAGAGCUAGCAGAGAAGGUAGCCCGCAAGGUGGGAGAACCGCCAAUAACGGUGGUAGUGAAUGAAGGCUUCAUCAACACCUCUAAAUUUCUUAGGGCCAGAGUGUUUCUUGAUGUUCAUGUGCCUCUGGUCAGGUUUGUGCCCAUAACCUUGAAGGAGAGGAAAAAGUACCCAGUUUACUAUGAAAAGCUUCCCGACUUUUGCUACUUUUGUGGCCUGAUGGGGCACCAAGUGGAGGAGUGCGGGGAUGGCGUUCACGAUCCUACUGCUUGUGAAUGGGGAGACUGGCUUCUGUGGAACUUUGAAAAUACUUUGCCAAAACAGAAUGGGGGGAGAGGAGGAGGCAGAGGUGGGGGAGAUAGGGGAGGAAGUGUGUCAGGAGGGAGAGGAGGUUGGGGUCGAGGGAGCAUGGCUCGUGGCAGCACCAAAAGUGAUACAAAUGAGGCCACUGAAAUGGAGUAUAGUACUCAAGAUGUUAGAUAUGGUACUGACCCGGGACAGCGUGGAGCAAGGAAAAGGCUGGUUGGCCCGGAUGGCAUGGUCAAUGCAAACGGGGCUGAUGCAGUUCCUAUUAUGCCAGGCACUGUUGCUGGAAAAAUUCUUUAG
RNAcentral lists this ribosomal RNA (1215 nucleotides) under Triticum aestivum (bread wheat). Its description in RNAcentral is "partial small subunit ribosomal RNA". Lineage: Eukaryota; Viridiplantae; Streptophyta; Magnoliopsida; Poales; Poaceae. The record is from RNAcentral.